GGGGAUGUCAUGGUUUCGACAGGUUUAUGUUUGAUUCAAACGGCAGUAGUAUUGUGAACUAUAAUCACUAAACAAAAAUAAACGGAAAUAACAGAUUAUCUUUUGCUGCUUAAUAGCCUAACAGACCUGGCUGCAGCUUCCUACUUAUAAAUUGUCAUUAGUUUAUAUUUAGAGUAUUUAUAAUGAAUAAGGUGAUUUUGACGUCAAUAAAAUGAUCCUGACAAUCUAAAUUGACAAAUUUAGUCAUCGUUAGCUUGCUUACAUGUGACUAUCUUAUCAAACAGCAAGAUAAACUGUAGAAGUUUGAAUGUGGGGCAACUCUUGGACAGGGGUUCGACUCCCCUCAUCUCCACCA
Molecule: transfer-messenger RNA, 355 nt
Filed under: Erysipelotrichaceae
Lineage: Bacteria; Bacillati; Bacillota; Erysipelotrichia; Erysipelotrichales
Also listed under: 3 other names
Description: JALEVB01 sp022780745 Standard tmRNA
Rfam family: transfer-messenger RNA
About the family: Bacterial tmRNA, also known as 10Sa RNA or SsrA, is named for its dual tRNA and mRNA-like properties. Its role is to liberate the mRNA from a stalled ribosome.
Source: RNAcentral